This 427-nucleotide ribosomal RNA is filed under the name uncultured bacterium. RNAcentral's name for it is "partial 16S ribosomal RNA". It matches the Rfam family "Bacterial small subunit ribosomal RNA", at positions 355 to 774 of the family's 1533-position model. The record is from RNAcentral.
UGGGGAAUAUUGCACAAUGGGCGCAAGCCUGAUGCAGCCAUGCCGCGUGUAUGAAGAAGGCCUUCGGGUUGUAAAGUACUUUCAGCGAGGAGGAAGGCAUUAAGGUUAAUAACCUUGGUGAUUGACGUUACUCGCAGAAGAAGCACCGGCUAACUCCGUGCCAGCAGCCGCGGUAAUACGGAGGGUGCAAGCGUUAAUCGGCAUUACUGGGCGUAAAGCGCACGCAGGCGGUCUGUCAAGUCGGAUGUGAAAUCCCCGGGCUCAACCUGGGAACUGCAUUCGAAACUGGCAGGCUAGAGUCUUGUAGAGGGGGGUAGAAUUCCAGGUGUAGCGGUGAAAUGCGUAGAGAUCUGGAGGAAUACCGGUGGCGAAGGCGGCCCCCUGGACAAAGACUGACGCUCAGGUGCGAAAGCGUGGGGAGCAAACA